CUUUGAUUCUGGCUCAGGAUGAACGCUAGCGGCAGGCUUAACACAUGCAAGUCGAAGGGCAGCGGGGAGAGUGCUUGCACUCUCCGCCGGCGACUGGCGCACGGGUGAGUAACACGUAUGCAACCUGCCCUCCACAGGGGGACAACUUUCCGAAAGGGAAGCUAAUCCCGCGUACAUCGCCGGAAGGCAUCUUCCGGUGAGGAAAGCUUCGGCGGUGGAGGAUGGGCAUGCGGCGCAUUAGCCAGACGGCGGGGUAACGGCCCACCGUGGCGACGAUGCGUAGGGGUUCUGAGAGGAAGGUCCCCCACACUGGUACUGAGACACGGACCAGACUCCUACGGGAGGCAGCAGUGAGGAAUAUUGGUCAAUGGGCGGGAGCCUGAACCAGCCAAGCCGCGUGAAGGAGGAAGGCGCUAAGCGUCGUAAACUUCUUUUGUCGGGGAACAAAGGCGUGGACGCGUCCAUGCGUGAGUGUACCCGAAGAAAAAGCAUCGGCUAACUCCGUGCCAGCAGCCGCGGUAAUACGGAGGAUGCGAGCGUUAUCCGGAUUUAUUGGGUUUAAAGGGUGCGUAGGCGGUCUGUUAAGUCAGCGGUAAAAGCCCGGGGCUCAACCCCGGCGAGCCGUUGAAACUGGGGGACUAGAGAGGGCGAGAAGUACGCGGAAUGCGCAGUGUAGCGGUGAAAUGCAUAGAUAUUGCGCAGAACUCCGAUUGCGAAGGCAGCGUACCGGCGCCUGUCUGACGCUGAGGCACGAAAGCGUGGGUAUCGAACAGGAUUAGAUACCCUGGUAGUCCACGCAGUAAACGAUGAAUGCCGGCUGUUCGGUCCGAUUGAGGGCUGAGUGGCGAAGCGAAAGCGAUAAGCAUUCCACCUGGGGAGUACGCCGGCAACGGUGCAACUCAAAGGAAUUGACGGA
Molecule: ribosomal RNA, 916 nt
Filed under: uncultured Bacteroidota bacterium
Lineage: Bacteria; Pseudomonadati; Bacteroidota
Description: bacterial SSU rRNA
Rfam family: Bacterial small subunit ribosomal RNA
Source: RNAcentral